RNAcentral lists this ribosomal RNA (189 nucleotides) under Ambrosiella beaveri. Its description in RNAcentral is "partial 28S ribosomal RNA". It matches the Rfam family "Eukaryotic large subunit ribosomal RNA", at positions 1 to 190 of the family's 3401-position model. Lineage: Eukaryota; Fungi; Ascomycota; Sordariomycetes; Microascales; Ceratocystidaceae. The record is from RNAcentral.
UGACCUCGGAUCAGGUAGGAAUACCCGCUGAACUUAAGCAUAUCAAUAAGCGGAGGAAAAGAAACCAACAGGGAUUGCCCUAGUAACGGCGAGUGAAGCGGCAACAGCUCAAAUUUGAAAUCUGGCUACUUUGUAGUCCGAGUUGUAAUUUGUAGAGGAUGCUUUUGGUGAAGUGCUUUCUGAGUUCCC